RNAcentral lists this ribosomal RNA (774 nucleotides) under uncultured Neocallimastigales. Its description in RNAcentral is "partial large subunit ribosomal RNA". It matches the Rfam family "Eukaryotic large subunit ribosomal RNA", at positions 26 to 627 of the family's 3401-position model. The record is from RNAcentral. Lineage: Eukaryota; Fungi; Neocallimastigomycota; Neocallimastigomycetes; Neocallimastigales.
CGUCUAUAUACGUAUAGCAUAUCAAUAAGCGGAGGAAAAGAAACUAACUAGGAUUCCCUUAGUAACGGCGAGUGAAGCGGGAAGAGCUCAAAUUUGAAAUCUUCAAGGUUUUACCUUGACGAAUUGUAGUUUAAAGAAGUGUUUUCUGUUGGAGUUUUGGUAAAAGUUCUUUGGAGUAGGACAUCAUAGAGGGUGAGAAUCCCGUAUUUGACCAUUAUUUCCAACUUUGUGAUACACUUUCAAAGAGUCGGAUUGUUUGGGAAUGCAGUCCAAAAUGGGUGGUAAAUUUCAUCUAAAGCUAAAUACUGGCGAGAGACCGAUAGCGAACAAGUACCGUGAGGGAAAGAUGAAAAGAACUUUGAAAAGAGAGUUAAACAGUACGUGAAAUUGUCAAAAGGGAAGCGUUUGACACCAGUGUUGUUUUCUCGAAAAUCAAUUAAAAAUGGUGGAUUUUGUGUUGUAUUGACUUUAUCAGCUUUCUGCACUCUUUUCUUAUCUUUUUUAAUGCACUUUUCGUUUAACAAGUCAACAUCAAUUUCUUUUGUUGUAAAAGGGUCAUUGGAAGGUGGCUUUCUUUUCGGAGAAAGUGUUUAUAGCCUUUGGCCUUCUGCAAUCGGAGAGAUUGAGGUCUGCAGCGUAGAUCCUUCGGGGUUAGAUGCAUUUGUGCUAAGUUAUAGCCUUUCAUAGACAACUUGUUGACUAUGAUCAGUCAUGUAGCUUACUCGCUUAUGUUAUUUUACCUACGCUUAGGAUGUUGACGAUCAGCUGAGCGCG